AAUUGAACGCUGGGGGCUUGCCUUCCUUUUGCAAGUCAAACGGCACCGCGGGUGCUUGCACCUGGCGGCAAGUGGCGAACGGGUGAGUAAUACAUCGGAACGUGCCCUAUAGUGGGGGAUAACUAGUCAAAAGAUUAGCUAAUACCGCAUACAAUCUACGGAUGAAAGUGGGGGACCGCAGGGCCUCAUGCUCCUGGAGCGGCCGAUGUCUGAUUACCUAGUUGGGGGGGUAACGGCCUACCAAGGCAACAAUCAGUAGCUGGUCUGAGAGGACAACCAGCCACACUGGGACUGAAACACGGCCCAAACUCCUACGGGAGGCAGCAGUGGGGAAUUUUGGACAAUGGGGGGAACCCUGAUCCAGCAAUGCCGCGUGUGUGAAGAAGGCCUUCGGGUUGUAAAGCACUUUUGUCAGGAACGAAACGGUGGGAGCUAAUACCUUCUGCUAAUGACGGUACCUGAAGAAUAAGCACCGGCUAACUACGUG
RNAcentral lists this ribosomal RNA (487 nucleotides) under uncultured bacterium. Its description in RNAcentral is "bacterial SSU rRNA". It matches the Rfam family "Bacterial small subunit ribosomal RNA", at positions 30 to 507 of the family's 1533-position model. The record is from RNAcentral.